AAAAAAAUUAAAUAAAAUGUCAUGCAAUAAAUAUGCAUUUAAUAUGCAAGUACAACAAGUACUAUGAUUAUAUAUGAAUAUAUGACUGUUUGAUUAAAAAAAAAUAGGAUUAAAUAAUAUAAUAAAAAUACAGUAGUUAAUAUAAAAUAAAUAAAUGUAUUUCACAAUGGAAAAAUCUUAGUUAUUAAAAAUACACUACAUGUUCCUUUUUGGGGGUGGGGGUGGGGGUGAACUUUGACCCUGAAAUUUUUUUAUGCAUUUGCAGUGUUUUGUUACAUUUUAUAAUCAUUGCAAAAAGUAAUACUAGACAUGUCUAUCCCUUACAAACAUGUUUGCAAGAAAAAAAAAUGAAGUCAAUCCCUGACUUGAGGUUCUUUGACCUCCGACCAGUAGAUGGCACUGUGAGUGUGCUGGGUCAUUAUUUUGGAUGUGUCUUUUGUAGAAUACACAGAUUCUACAUAUGUUUGUGCACUUUUUCUCUGUAAACACCCCUUUUGCCAUGUGUUUAUUGCCUUAUUUCUGAUGCUGUGAAUGUGUCAGGUUGAAAUGUAAUGAUUAUGAUUGUUAUGAACGUUGAGACAGUGUUUGUGUCCUGGGGGCCAGAUCUCAUUCACUGAGUGUUGUGAAGUGAUUUGUUGCAUGAAUGAAUCAGAAAAAAUAAUCCGAACAGACAACAUGGAGUGGGGGGAAGAAGUUUGUAGAGAGAUUAUCAUAUAAAAUUCACACCAUUUCCAAGUCAGCUCACACUCGACACGUCCGUCAGCCGAAAGUGUGCCUUUCUUACAGGCUUCGUGACCGCUCAGAUGAUGGAUGACCUGUUUGCACCUCAGCCCACUGAUCUUCUGCCUCUUGCAGUCACCAUUCAUUUCAAAAGUGAACGGUACUUCAGCCAUCAUCUGUGACCAAAACAACUGCAAAAACAAAGAGGAAAAAGACAGUAACACUACCAUUUGUCCCAUCAUUUGUUGCCUGUGCAAAAGCCUCACCUUGUUCAUUCAAAUUUCAAUGUAAAAAUAUUGUAUUUUUCACAAAAUGCUGCCAAUAUGUAAAUGUAUGUUGAUAUUGCCAAUUAUUGUGACUUUUGAACCUGUUAUUUAUUUCUGUACAUUUCUCACUUCUAACUCUGUGUCACUUUAUAAACUGUUACCGUUAAUUAGGCCAGCAGUUUUAUUUUAGGAGGGAAUUGUCACUCUUUGUAAUAUACACAUUCCUCGUGCCAACUUAUGAAAGUUCUCACAUUUUUUUUAACUCUUGAAACAGUACUGACAGUGAACACUGGCAUGUAUGGACUCUACUCAGUUUUACUGAGUUUACUCACAUUUUUAAAGUUAUUGUACACAGUCACUGACAAGGAAAAAUGUGUUAUUAAAAUGUUUGUAUGCGCACUCCAACAAAUGAAUUUAUACAUAAAGUCUCUUAAACUAAUGUUUUAAGCUGGUUUGAUGUUAUUUUGUGGAGGAUUUUUUUAAUUUUAUUUUAAUCAUUAUUCACUGAAACAUUUGUCAUAUACUUUCGCUCUCAAAGUUGAUUUCAGUACAUGGAGG
Molecule: long non-coding RNA, 1544 nt
Organism: Cyprinus carpio carpio
Lineage: Eukaryota; Metazoa; Chordata; Actinopteri; Cypriniformes; Cyprinidae
Source: Ensembl